This 301-nucleotide ribosomal RNA is filed under the name uncultured bacterium. Its description in RNAcentral is "partial 16S ribosomal RNA". It matches the Rfam family "Bacterial small subunit ribosomal RNA", at positions 509 to 807 of the family's 1533-position model. The record is from RNAcentral.
CAGCAGCCGCGGUAAAACGGAGGGCGCGAGCGUUACCCGGAUUUACUGGGCGUAAAGGGCGUGUAGGCGGCCUGGGGCGUCCCAUGUGAAAGGCCACGGCUCAACCGUGGAGGAGCGUGGGAUACGCUCAGGCUAGAGGGUGGGAGAGGGUGGUGGAAUUCCCGGAGUAGCGGUGAAAUGCGCAGAUACCGGGAGGAACGCCGAUGGCGAAGGCAGCCACCUGGUCCACUUCUGACGCUGAGGCGCGAAAGCGUGGGGAGCAAACCGGAUUAGAUACCCCUGUAGUCCCUGUCUCUUAUAC